Molecule: ribosomal RNA, 718 nt
Filed under: uncultured bacterium
Lineage: Bacteria
Description: bacterial SSU rRNA
Rfam family: Bacterial small subunit ribosomal RNA
Source: RNAcentral
AAUGCGCAGAUUUCAGGAUGAACACCAGUGGCGAAGUCGGUUCUCUGGGCCCUUCCUGACGCUGAGGAGCGAAAGCGUGGGGAGCGAACAGGCUUAGAUACCCUGGUAGUCCACGCUGUAAACGGUGGGUACUAGGUGUGGGGUCCAUUCCACGGGUUCCGUGCCGUAGCUAACGCUUUAAGUACCCCGCCUGGGGAGUACGGCCGCAAGGCUAAAACUCAAAGGAAUUGACGGGGCCCCGCACAAGCGGCGGAGCAUGCGGAUUAAUUCGAUGCAACGCGUAGAACCUUACCUGGGUUUGACAUGGAUCGGGAGUGCUCAGAGAUGGGUGUGCCUCUUUUGGGGUCGGUUCACAGGUGGUGCAUGGCUGUCGUCAGCUCGUGUCGUGAGAUGUUAGGUUAAGUCCCGCAACGAGCGCAACCCUUGUUCACUGUUGCCAGCACGUUAUGGUGGGGACUCAGUGGAGACCGCCGGGGUCAACUCGGAGGAAGGUGGGGAUGACGUCAAGUCAUCAUGCCCCUUAUGUCCAGGGCUUCACGCAUGCUACAAUGGCUGGUACAGAGAGUGGCGAGCCUGUGAGGGUGAGCGAAUCUCGGAAAGCCGGUCUCAGUUCGGAUUGGGGUCUGCAACUCGACCUCAUGAAGUCGGAGUCGCUAGUAAUCGCAGAUCAGCAACGCUGCGGUGAAUAUUUUGGGGGGGGCUUGUACACACCGCCCGU